GACGAACGCUGGCGGCGUGCCUAACACAUGCAAGUCAAAGGAAAGCGACUUCGGUCGCAAGUACUUGGCGCAAGGGUGAGUAAGGUAUAGGUAAUCUGCCCUUUGGACUGGGAUAACCUCGAGAAAUCGAGGACAAUACCAGAUGAUGCAGCGGGACCGCAUGGUCAUGUUGUUAAAGAUUUAUCGCCAAAGGAUGAGCCUAUAUUCCAUCAGGUAGUUGGUAGGUAACGGCCUACCAAGCCUACGACGGAUAGGGGGCCUGAGAGGGUGGCCCCCCA
Molecule: ribosomal RNA, 278 nt
Filed under: uncultured Chlorobiota bacterium
Lineage: Bacteria; Pseudomonadati; Chlorobiota
Description: uncultured Chlorobi bacterium partial 16S ribosomal RNA
Rfam family: Bacterial small subunit ribosomal RNA
Source: RNAcentral